AAGACAUUAGUAAAAUGCAAAUUACACCACCUUGUCAAGGUGAAAUUACAGGUUAAAUCCCUGUAUGUCUUA
This 72-nucleotide transfer RNA is filed under the name Pseudogobio guilinensis. Its description in RNAcentral is "tRNA-Asp". It matches the Rfam family "tRNA". From Rfam's summary of the family: Transfer RNA (tRNA) molecules are approximately 80 nucleotides in length. Their secondary structure includes four short double-helical elements and three loops (D, anti-codon, and T loops). The record is from RNAcentral. Lineage: Eukaryota; Metazoa; Chordata; Actinopteri; Cypriniformes; Gobionidae.